GGUCAAGUUAUUAAGGGUGCAGGGCGGAUGCCUUGGCACUAGGAGCCGAUGAAGGACGUGAUAAGCUGCGAUAAGCUUCGGGGAGUUGCACGUAAACUUUGAUCCGAAGAUUUCCGAAUGAGGAAACUCACUUAGAGUAAUGUCUAAGUAUCAUUAAGUGAAUACAUAGCUUAAUGAGGGGAACUCAGGGAACUGAAACAUCUAAGUACCUGAAGGAAGAGAAAGAAAUUCGAUUCCGUAAGUAGCGGCGAGCGAACGCGGAUUAGCCCAAACCAAUAAAGUUUUCUUUAUUGGGGUUGCGGACAUAUCAUAACGAAGAGGUAUCGUAAUUGAAGAGGUUUGGAAAGACCCACCACAGAAGGUAAUAGUCCUGUAUGUUAAACGAGAAGACUUUAGAUAUGAUCCAGAGUACCACGGGACACGUGAAACCCUGUGGGAAGCAGGAGGGACCACCCUCCAAGGCUAA
RNAcentral lists this ribosomal RNA (466 nucleotides) under Clostridioides difficile. Its description in RNAcentral is "partial 23S ribosomal RNA". It matches the Rfam family "Bacterial large subunit ribosomal RNA", at positions 1 to 469 of the family's 2925-position model. The record is from RNAcentral. Lineage: Bacteria; Bacillati; Bacillota; Clostridia; Peptostreptococcales; Peptostreptococcaceae.